UUUUGCUGUAUUUUGCACUUACAAACACCAAAGCAACAUGUCUACAGAUACAAAUGGACAGUACUGUGUGUACAACUGAUUUAAUGAGACACAAAUAAGACAGACGUGCUAAUAAACAGUAUAUU
Long non-coding RNA from Etheostoma cragini (Arkansas darter), 125 nucleotides. RefSeq lists it as uncharacterized. The transcript is spliced from 3 exons. NCBI's taxonomy places the organism in Eukaryota, Metazoa, Chordata, Actinopteri, Perciformes, Percidae. The record is from RefSeq and is a predicted model, not a curated record.